CCUACGGGUGGCAGCAGUGAGGAAUAUUGGUCAAUGGACGGAAGUCUGAACCAGCCAUGCCGCGUGCAGGAAGACGGCUCUAUGAGUUGUAAACUUCUUUUGUCAAGGGACAAAAUCAGGCUCGAGAGCCUGACCGAGGGUACUUGAAGAAAAAGCAUCGGCUAACUCCGUGCCAGCAGCCGCGGUAAUACGGAGGAUGCGAGCGUUAUCCGGAUUUAUUGGGUUUAAAGGGUGCGUAGGCGGGCUGUUAAGUCAGCGGUAAAAGCCCGGGGCUCAACCCCGGCGAGCCGUUGAAACUGGCUGUCUUGAGAUGUCGAGAGGUAUGCGGAAUGCGCAGUGUAGCGGUGAAAUGCUUAGAUAUUGCGCAGAACUCCGAUUGCGAAGGCAGCAUACCGGCGGCGAUCUGACGCUGAGGCACGAAAGCGUGGGUAUCGAACAGGAUUAGAUACCCUUGUAGUC
RNAcentral lists this ribosomal RNA (459 nucleotides) under uncultured bacterium. RNAcentral's name for it is "partial 16S ribosomal RNA". It matches the Rfam family "Bacterial small subunit ribosomal RNA", at positions 338 to 795 of the family's 1533-position model. The record is from RNAcentral.